Molecule: ribosomal RNA, 497 nt
Filed under: uncultured bacterium
Lineage: Bacteria
Description: partial 16S ribosomal RNA
Rfam family: Bacterial small subunit ribosomal RNA
Source: RNAcentral
GAUGAACGCUGGCGGCGUGCCUAAUACAUGCAAGUCGAGCGAACGGACGAGAAGCUUGCUUCUCUGAUGUUAGCGGCGGACGGGUGAGUAACACGUGGAUAACCAACCUAUAAGACUGGGAUAACUUCGGGAAACCGGAGCUAAUACCGGAUAAUAUUUUGAACCGCAUGGUUCAAAAGUGAAAGACGGUCUUGCUGUCACUUAUAGAUGGAUCCGCGCUGCAUUAGCUAGUUGGUAAGGUAACGGCUUACCAAGGCAACGAUGCAUAGCCGACCUGAGAGGGUGAUCGGCCACACUGGAACUGAGACACGGUCCAGACUCCUACGGGAGGCAGCAGUAGGGAAUCGUCCGCAAUGGGCGAAAGCCUGACGGAGCAACGCCGCGUGAGUGAUGAAGGUCUUCGGAUCGUAAAACUCUGUUAUUAGGGAAGAACAUAUGUGUAAGUAACUGUGCACAUCUUGACGGUACCUAAUCAGAAAGCCACGGCUAACUACGUG